Molecule: ribosomal RNA, 1390 nt
Filed under: uncultured bacterium
Lineage: Bacteria
Description: partial 16S ribosomal RNA
Rfam family: Bacterial small subunit ribosomal RNA
Source: RNAcentral
GAAUUCGCCCUUAGAGUUUGAUCCUGGCUCAGGAUGAACGCUGGCGGCGCGCCUAACACAUGCAAGUCGAACGGUUAAGACGCACUUCGGUGCGUGUAUAGAGUGGCGAACGGCUGAGUAACACGUGGGCAACCUGCCCCCCGCACCGGGAUAGCCUCGCGAAAGCGUGAUUAAUACCGGGUACUCCGGCACCUCCGCAUGGCGGUGCCGGGAGAGCGUUAGCGGCGGGGGAUGGGCCCGCGGCCUGUUAGCUAGUUGGCGGGGCAACGGCCCACCAAGGCGAUUAUGGGUAGCCGGGUUGAGAGACCGACCGGCCAGAUUGGGACUGAGACACGGCCCAGACUCCUACGGGAGGCAGCAGUGGGGAAUCUUGCGCAAUGGGGGGAACCCUGACGCAGCGACGCCGCGUGCGGGACGAAGGCCCUAGGGUCGUAAACCGCUUUCAGCAGGGAAGAGGCCGCGAGGUGACGGUACCUGCAGAAGAAGCCCCGGCUAAAUACGUGCCAGCAGCCGCGGUAAUACGUAUGGGGCGAGCGUUAUCCGGAUUCAUUGGGCGUAAAGCGCGCGUAGGCGGCCUGGCAGGCCGGGAGUCAAAUCCGGGGGCUCAACCCCCGCCCGCUCCCGGAACCUCCGGGCUUGAGUCUGGCAGGGGAGGGUGGAAUACCCGGUGUAGCGGUGGAAUGCGCAGAUAUCGGGAAGUCCUCCGGUGGCGCGGGCGGCCCUCUGGGCCGCGUCUGGCGCUGUGGCGCGUUAGCUGGGGGCGCCUCUCAAAGUUGGUUGCCGCUGGUAGUCCCAGGCCGUNGNNCGACCCAUUAUGGAGUGUGGGGGGACGAUCCCCCCGUGCCGCAGCCAACGCACUAAGCGUCCCGCCUGGGGAGUACGGCCGCAAGGCUAAAACUCAAAGGAAUUGACGGGGGCCCGCACAAGCAGUGGAGUAUGUGGUUUUAAUUCGACGCAACGCGAAGAACCUUACCAAGUCUUGACAUCCUGCGACGGUGCUGGAAACAGCAUUUUCCUUCGGGACGCAGAGACAGGUGGUGCAUGGUUGUCGUCAGCUCGUGUCGUGAGAUGUUGGGUUAAGUCCCGCAACGAGCGCAACCCUUAUGGUCAGUUACUACGCAAGAGGACUCUGGCCAGACUGCCGUUGACAAAACGGAGGAAGGUGGGGAUGACGUCAAAUCAUCAUGCCCUUUAUGACUUGGGCUACACACGUACUACAAUGGCGUUAAACAAAGAGAAGCAAGACCGCGAGGUGGAGCAAAACUCAGAAACAACGUCCCAAUUCGGACUGCAGGCUGCAACUCGCCUGCACGAAGUCGGAAUUGCUAGUAAUCGUGGAUCAGCAUGCCACGGUGAAUACGUUCCCGGGCCUUGCACUCACCACCCGUCA